AUGCUUCUCCUAAAGACUAAGCCAUGCAUGCCUUCGAAUAAGAAGAGUGUCUCUCUCUGAAUCUGCGUACGGCUCCGCAAACCAGUUGUAAACUAUAGCAAACAGAUCGUCGGGGUAGCCUAAAAACUCAGCUGAUGGUCUACAAGGAUAUCCCUGGUAAUUCUGAGGCUAAUACAAGAACGUACUCACCUGUCUGGGGGCAAUUUUUUAAUCCCCGGGUCGGGGGCGCGCGGUCUUAGUCGCAAAUUUCUGGGAAUAGCCGCAUGCUCGGACCACCAUACAAGCAGACCGGUCAGGAACCUUCGGGGGAAUGGCCCGCCUGGGUGGCUUUUGCGGUGUGCAUCUGACCUAUCAACUAGAUGGCAGCAUAAAGGACAUGCUAUGGUAACAACGGGUACAGAGGAUAAGGGUUCGAUCCUGGAGAGUGGGCCUGAGAGAUUGCUCACACUUCUAAGGAAGGCAGCAGGCGCGCAACGUUCCCAUUGGGCAAUGCCCGAGGGCGUUAGGGGACAUAUGAAUGUCUGCCAAUUGGUGGACAAUUCAAAUGGGUCUGUUCUAAACAGCCUC
RNAcentral lists this ribosomal RNA (567 nucleotides) under Fuligo gyrosa. Its description in RNAcentral is "SSU rRNA". It matches the Rfam family "Eukaryotic small subunit ribosomal RNA", at positions 28 to 536 of the family's 1831-position model. The record is from RNAcentral. Lineage: Eukaryota; Evosea; Eumycetozoa; Physariida; Physaraceae.